AGUAAAGUCAGCUAAUUUAAGCUUUUGGGCCCAUACCCCAAAAAUGCAGGUUAAAACCCUCCCUUUACUA
This 70-nucleotide transfer RNA is filed under the name Hippocampus abdominalis (big-belly seahorse). RNAcentral describes it as "tRNA-Met". It matches the Rfam family "tRNA". Rfam says of the family: Transfer RNA (tRNA) molecules are approximately 80 nucleotides in length. Their secondary structure includes four short double-helical elements and three loops (D, anti-codon, and T loops). Lineage: Eukaryota; Metazoa; Chordata; Actinopteri; Syngnathiformes; Syngnathidae. The record is from RNAcentral.